CCUACUGAUGCCCGCGUCG
RNAcentral lists this small RNA (19 nucleotides) under Arabidopsis thaliana (thale cress). RNAcentral describes it as "Ath_wt_17245". Lineage: Eukaryota; Viridiplantae; Streptophyta; Magnoliopsida; Brassicales; Brassicaceae. The record is from RNAcentral.